UAGAAUUGACGGGGCCGCACAAGCGGCGGAGCAUGCGGAUUAAUUCGAUGCAACGCGAAGAACCUUACCAAGGCUUGACAUACACCGGUAACGCCCAGAGAUGGGUGCCCCUUUGUGGUCGGUGUACAGGUGGUGCAUGGUUGUCGUCAGCUCGUGUCGUGAGAUGUUGGGUUAAGUCCCGCAACGAGCGCAACCCUCGUCCUAUGUUGCCAGCGGGUCAUGCCGGGGACUCAUGGGAGACUGCCGGGGUCAACUCGGAGGAAGGUGGGGAUGACGUCAAAUCAUCAUGCCCCUUAUGUCUUGGGCUUCACGCAUGCUACAAUGGCCGGUACAAAGGGCUGCGAUACCGCGAGGUGGAGCGAAUCCCAGAAAGCCGGUCUCAGUUCGGAUUGGGGUCUGCAACUCGACCCCAUGAAGUCGGAGUCGCUAGUAAUCGCAGAUCGGCAACGCUGCGGUGAAUACGUUCCCGGGCCUU
This 475-nucleotide ribosomal RNA is filed under the name uncultured Curtobacterium sp. RNAcentral describes it as "bacterial SSU rRNA". It matches the Rfam family "Bacterial small subunit ribosomal RNA", at positions 907 to 1382 of the family's 1533-position model. The record is from RNAcentral. Lineage: Bacteria; Bacillati; Actinomycetota; Actinomycetes; Micrococcales; Microbacteriaceae.